RNAcentral lists this small RNA (1614 nucleotides) under Oryza sativa Japonica Group (Japanese rice). RNAcentral describes it as "sRNA Os01g0844850". The record is from RNAcentral. Lineage: Eukaryota; Viridiplantae; Streptophyta; Magnoliopsida; Poales; Poaceae.
CAUCAACGAGAGAGCCUGAGGCAUGAUCUCCUUAAAAACCAUGUCUUUUUCCUCAACUGUUGCGGUUUCAAGUUUUUGCUGUAUGAAACGGCUUCCGUAUUGGUCAGCGCUGCAUAAUCAAAGUGAACAUCACAACCAGCUCAAAGAUUCAAAACUUCUGGCCUUAUUACUUUUGAAUUCAUCCAAUAGUGAAGAUGGGAAGUUAUCAUUCAUAUAGCCACUUGGAUCAGAAUUCCAGCCACCCAAGUUUCUCAAGUUAGAAGGAAAUCUCAUAUUCCGCUCACUGAGUCUAAGUGGACUGCCAGGACCAGAUGGAGAAGCAACAGGACUUCCCAAAGGGCUUCCAGGGUAUGCCAUGCCCAUGCCAAAAGCCAAAUUGCCAUAAUAGCCAUGGUUUGACGUGGUUGACUUACCAAGUGGCAUUCCAUAUUGUUUCUGCUGCUGAAGCAAAGCUUCAAUAUAAGCUUUCUGAACAGCAGUUAAAUCACCAUAUUGACUACCCAUGAAACCUCUUUCCAAGGAAGGAUCACUGCAGUUGGCAGUUCCUUGUGCUGCAUAUUGAGUUGCCUUCAAGUACUGGACAUAAAAUGGAUCAGAAAGAGGCGACAAAAGACCUGUGGCUGUUUGGUUACCAGUUCUGCCAAGGUUAUGCACAUCAGAUAGACUUAAGGUAGGUGACGACAAAAUAUUGUUACCAAGGUUUCUCGAAUCUGCCCCGAAUGAAGCUAUAGCAGAUGCAGCAGCUGCACUUUCGAACAAAGGAGGCAUAUUGCCAGAGCCCAUACAGUUCAUCAUCAUAGAAGGCAAACCCGGGCUGAGUGGAUACCCACCGAGUCCAUAUAUCAGCUUCCAACAUCAGCGAAUGCUGAUUCUUAUUAACUUGGAGAGCUUUUGGAUCAAGAGAAAUAUUCUGGUGGUCACUUAUCUCACUUUGGAACUUUGAUUGACUAAUGCUGUUACUGUCACCCAAAGUACCAUCUUUUGACAUGUUCAUGUUUGAUAUUGCAGCUAAAAUAUCAUCAGGCUCAACUGCUUUUGAAGAUGCAGUGUUGAAUGAUGAUGAGCAAUUCAGCUUCUUCUCAUUAGAAUUAAUCCUAACACCGACAGGUGGAAGGCCAGGACUAGGGACCCUAGGGACAUAAUGAGAAUCUGGUGUGGCAUUCCUUGAAAUAGAUGAACCCAGAACAGAUGCAAAAGUUUGAGAUGCGGAUGCAUUAAUACUGGGAAGGCCACUGACAUUUUGCACAUUUCCGACAGCACGUUGUGCUUCCAGAAUAUCAUUAUGCAUGGAGUACUGGCUAUCAGCAGAAUUUAGUAGUUCCUGAUUGUCAAGAAAAGAAUUGCGACUAACUGCACGAGAGGGAUGCUCUGAAGCAGGAGUUCUGCGGCCAAUAUUAACACAGGCCUCCCCACCGUCGGCUCAUGUCCAGUCUCCUCCGGCGAUACCUUCCUUCCGUCACCAAUUCCUCCAACCACCCCCGCCUUCAGUCUCUGUGUGGACCGCCAGUCCUCCUUGGAUAGCACCGGCGGUGGCAACCUUGGGUUCAGAUUGCCAUGCGAGUAGUAGUAGGAUAGAUAGGCCGGGUCAGCCCGGAGCUCAUCCUCCGAGAGGAG